Molecule: ribosomal RNA, 448 nt
Filed under: uncultured Gammaproteobacteria bacterium
Lineage: Bacteria; Pseudomonadati; Pseudomonadota; Gammaproteobacteria
Description: bacterial SSU rRNA
Rfam family: Bacterial small subunit ribosomal RNA
Source: RNAcentral
CAAUCCUGGCGACGAGCGGCGAACGGGUGAGUAAUGCUUGGGAAUCUGCCCAUUAGCGGGGAACAACCAGCCGAAAGGUUGGCUAAUACCGCAUACGCCCUACGGGGGAAAGCGGGGGAUCGUAAGACCUCGCGCUAAUGGAUGAGCCCAAGUCGGAUUAGCUUGUUGGUAGGGUAACGGCCUACCAAGGCGACAAUCCGUAGCUGGUCUGAGAGGACGACCAGCCACACUGGGACUGAGACACGGCCCAGACUCCUACGGGAGGCAGCAGUGGGGAAUAUUGGACAAUGGGGGAAACCCUGAUCCAGCGACGCCGCGUGUGUGAAGAAGGCCUGCGGGUUGUAAAGCACUUUUAGUGGGGAUGAAAAGCCUCGGGAUAACACCUCUGGGUCUUGACCUAACCCACAGAAAAAGCACCGGCUAACUCUGUGCCAGCAGCCGCGGUAAU